RNAcentral lists this ribosomal RNA (433 nucleotides) under uncultured bacterium. Its description in RNAcentral is "bacterial SSU rRNA". It matches the Rfam family "Bacterial small subunit ribosomal RNA", at positions 28 to 507 of the family's 1533-position model. The record is from RNAcentral.
GAUGAACGCUGGCGGCAUGGAUAAGGCAUGCAAGUCGAGUGGGUUUACGACCCACGGACAAACGGGUUAGUAAUACGUAGGAAUGUUCCUCAAAGUCGUGGAUAAUCCGUCGAAAGGCGGAAGAAUACACGAUGUGCUCUACGGAGUAAAGAUUUAUCGCUUUAAGAGGGGCUUGCGUCUGAUUAGCUAGUUGGUGGGGUAAAGGCCUACCAAGGCCACGAUCAGUAGCUGGUCUGAGAGGAUGAUCAGCCACACUGGGACUGAGACACGGCCCAGACUCCUACGGGAGGCAGCAGUGAGGAAUUUUCCGCAAUGGGCGAAAGCCUGACGGAGCAAUGCCGCGUGAAGGACGAAGGCCUGUGGGUCGUAAACUUCUUUUAUCAGAGAAGAAACAAUGACGGUACCUGAUGAAUAAGCUCCGGCUAACUCUGUG